RNAcentral lists this long non-coding RNA (319 nucleotides) under Cricetulus griseus (Chinese hamster). RNAcentral describes it as "lncRNA (ENSCGRG00015038407.1)". The record is from RNAcentral. Lineage: Eukaryota; Metazoa; Chordata; Mammalia; Rodentia; Cricetidae.
CCAAUCUGCGCCCUGGCCAUUGAUUCCUGACUGAAGGUGGAGGGCUACGCGUUGGGAUCAGCCGGGAAGGUCCAGCGCAACGGCAGGCUCACGAGUGGGCAGCGUCGGCGGAGUCGCGCGCCGAGGACAGAAUUGCUGGGAGGACAGCUGCCUGCACUGGAGACAUCAUGAAAGCUCCUCCAGAUUCUUCCUGAUUACUUACCAGCAAGGCAAGAAAGCAGAGGGGAUACAGCUAAACAGCCCUGCCCACAGGCCUGCCCCAGAGAUCCCUGAAGGCAGCUCUACCAGCAGGAAGGCCAUGAUUGGGACUGACUUUUGG